AGAUGGAAUGGCACUCCUAUCAAAAGUGAAAGCACUAAUGUGGAGGUAUUUGGAUGGGAGGAAUUUGAGAGAGG
Nematostella vectensis (starlet sea anemone) is the source of this 74-nucleotide non-coding RNA. The record is from Rfam. NCBI's taxonomy places the organism in Eukaryota, Metazoa, Cnidaria, Anthozoa, Actiniaria, Edwardsiidae.